UUAGAGUUUGAUCCUGGCUCAGAACGAACGCUGGCGGCAGGCUUAACACAUGCAAGUCGAACGCCCCUUUCGGGGGGAGUGGCAGACGGGUGAGUAACACGUGGGAACGUACCUCUUUGUUCGGAAUAACUCAUGGAAACGUGAGCUAAUACCGGAUACGCCCUUUUGGGGAAAGAUUUAUCGCAGAGAGAUCGGCCCGCGUCUGAUUAGCUAGUUGGUGAGGUAAUGGCUCACCAAGGCGACGAUCAGUAGCUGGUCUGAGAGGAUGAUCAGCCACACUGGGACUGAGACACGGCCCAGACUCCUACGGGAGGCAGCAGUGGGGAAUAUUGGACAAUGGGGGCAACCCUGAUCCAGCCAUGCCGCGUGAGUGAUGAAGGCCUUAGGGUUGUAAAGCUCUUUUAUCCGGGAAGAUAAUGACUGUACCGGAAGAAUAAGCCCCGGCUAACUUCGUGCCAGCAGCCGCGGUAAUACGAAGGGGGCUAGCGUUGUUCGGAAUCACUGGGCGUAAAGGGCGCGUAGGCGGACGAUUAAGUCAGGGGUGAAAUCCCGGGGCUCAACCUCGGAAUUGCCCUUGAUACUGGUUGUCUUGAGAUUGGAAGAGGUAAGUGGAAUUGCGAGUGUAGAGGUGAAAUUCGUAGAUAUUCGCAAGAACACCGGUGGCGAAGGCGACUUACUGGUCCAUAUCUGACGCUGAGGCGCGAAAGCGUGGGGAGCAAACAGGAUUAGAUACCCUGGUAGUCCACCCCGUAAACGAUUGGAUGCCAGCUGUUGGGGAGCAUGCUCUU
Molecule: ribosomal RNA, 788 nt
Filed under: uncultured bacterium
Lineage: Bacteria
Description: bacterial SSU rRNA
Rfam family: Bacterial small subunit ribosomal RNA
Source: RNAcentral